UUUCCGUAGGUGAACCUGCGGAAGGAUCAUUAUUGUAUAACCGAGGUGCGAGGGCUGUCGCUGACCCGACAGGUCGUGCACGCCCGAGUGCCCGCACACACAUCCAUCUCACCCCUAUGUGCACCACCGCGUGGGUCCCCCUUUGGCUUGUUCGGAGGGGGGCUUACGUGUUCACACAAACUUUGUAUGCAGUGUAGAAUGUAUUUUUUGUUUUUGAGAUCACGCAAUCAAUACAACUUUCAACAACGGAUCUCUUGGCUCUC
This 263-nucleotide unclassified non-coding RNA is filed under the name plant metagenome. RNAcentral's name for it is "partial contains small subunit ribosomal RNA, internal transcribed spacer 1, and 5.8S ribosomal RNA". The record is from RNAcentral.